This 484-nucleotide ribosomal RNA is filed under the name uncultured bacterium. RNAcentral's name for it is "bacterial SSU rRNA". It matches the Rfam family "Bacterial small subunit ribosomal RNA", at positions 28 to 486 of the family's 1533-position model. The record is from RNAcentral.
GACGAACGCUGGCGGCGUGCCUAAUACAUGCAAGUCGAGCGGGGAUUAUGCUUGAUCGCUUCGGUGAGACGGCAUAUAUCCUAGCGGCGGACGGGUGAGUAACGCGUGGGUAAUCUACCUCGUAGUUCGGGAUAACAGGCCGAAAGGCUUGCUAAUACCGGAUGAGUUCAUGCUUAUGCAUAUAGGCAUGAAGAAAGGGCUAGCCCGCUAUGAGAUGAGCCCGCGUCCCAUUAGCUUGUUGGUGGGGUAACGGCCUACCAAGGCAACGAUGGGUAGCCGGCCUGAGAGGGUGUACGGCCACACUGGGACUGAGACACGGCCCAGACUCCUACGGGGGGCAGCAGUCGAGAAUAGUCUACAAUGGCCGGAAGGCUGAUAGUGCGACGCCGCGUGAACGAGGGAGCCCUUCGGGUGUAAAGUUCUUUUCUAUACGAGCAGUGCUAUAUAUAUGGAUAGUAUAUAUAGAGGGAUAGUAGUAUAGGAU